AGUGAAGCGGCAACAGCUCAAAUUUGAAAUCUGGCCCUCGUGGUCCGAGUUGUAAUUUGUAGAGGAUGCUUUUGGCGCGGUGCCUUCCGAGUUCCCUGGAACGGGACGCCAUAGAGGGUGAGAGCCCCGUCUGGUUGGACACCAAGCCUCUGUAAAGCUCCUUCGACGAGUCGAGUAGUUUGGGAAUGCUGCUCUAAAUGGGAGGUAUAUGUCUUCUAAAGCUAAAUACCGGCCAGAGACCGAUAGCGCACAAGUAGAGUGAUCGAAAGAUGAAAAGCACUUUGAAAAGAGAGUUAAAUAGUACGUGAAAUUGUUGAAAGGGAAGCGCUUGUGACCAGACUUGGGCUUGGUUAAUCAUCCAGGGUUCUCCCUGGUGCACUUGGCCGGCCCAGGCCAGCAUCAGUUUGCCGCGGGGGAUAAAGGCGUCGGGAAUGUGGCUCCCCCGGGAGUGUUAUAGCCCGGCGCGCAAUACCCUGCGGCGGACUGAGGUUCGCGCAUCUGCAAGGAUGCUGGCGUAAUGGUCAUCAGCGACCCGUCUUGAAACACGGACCAAGGAGUCGUCUUCGUAUGCGAGUGUUCGGGUGUCAAACCCCUACGCGUAAUGAAAGUGAACGCAGGUGAGAGCUUCGGCGCAUCAUCGACCGAUCCUGAUGUUCUCGGAUGGAUUUGAGUAAGAGCAUACGGGGCCGGACCCGAAAGAAGGUGAACUAUGCCUGUAUAGGGUGAAGCCAGAGGAAACUCUGGUGGAGGCUCGCAGCGGUUCUGACGUGCAAAUCGAUCGUCAAAUAUGGGCAUGGGGGCGAAAGACUAAUCGAACCUUCUAGUAG
Molecule: ribosomal RNA, 827 nt
Filed under: Nectria balansae
Lineage: Eukaryota; Fungi; Ascomycota; Sordariomycetes; Hypocreales; Nectriaceae
Description: eukaryotic LSU rRNA
Rfam family: Eukaryotic large subunit ribosomal RNA
Source: RNAcentral